CUACCUUGAGAUACUAAGAGACCCUAAAUCUAAUCCUUAUCUGAGGAAAGGUUUAUGGGUGAAGGAGAGUAUGCUUUAGAAAAUGAGGCUUUGCCUCUCUUGCUCUAGAUCCUACUAGGGUCCGGUGGCAUGAAUAGGAAAGCCAAGAUCUAACCUAGUAUAUGUCCUAAAGGGUAGUCUAGGGAUAGGCUAGGAUGGCUGGGAGGUUUGAGAAGGU
This 217-nucleotide long non-coding RNA is filed under the name Elaeis guineensis (African oil palm). RNAcentral describes it as "long non-coding RNA (EGUI_LNC028538)". Lineage: Eukaryota; Viridiplantae; Streptophyta; Magnoliopsida; Arecales; Arecaceae. The record is from RNAcentral.